GAAAGGCGCUUUCGGGUGUCGCUGAUGGAUGGACCCGCGGUGCAUUAGCUAGUUGGUGAGGUAGCGGCUCACCAAGGCGACGAUGCAUAGCCGACCUGAGAGGGUGAUCGGCCACAUUGGGACUGAGACACGGCCCAAACUCCUACGGGAGGCAGCAGUAGGGAAUCUUCGGCAAUGGACGAAAGUCUGACCGAGCAACGCCGCGUGAGUGAAGAAGGUUUUCGGAUCGUAAAACUCUGUUGUUAGAGAAGAACAAGGAUGAGAGUAACUGUUCAUCCCUUGACGGUAUCUAACCAGAAAGCCACGGCUAACUACGUGCCAGCAGCCGCGGUAAUACGUAGGUGGCAAGCGUUGUCCGGAUUUAUUGGGCGUAAAGCGAGCGCAGGCGGUUUCUUAAGUCUGAUGUGAAAGCCCCCGGCUCAACCGGGGAGGGUCAUUGGAAACUGGGAGACUUGAGUGCAGAAGAGGAGAGUGGAAUUCCAUGUGUAGCGGUGAAAUGCGUAGAUAUAUGGAGGAACACCAGUGGCGAAGGCGGCUCUCUGGUCUGUAACUGACGCUGAGGCUCGAAAGCGUGGGGAGCAAACAGGAUUAGAUACCCUGGUAGUCCACGCCGU
RNAcentral lists this ribosomal RNA (614 nucleotides) under uncultured bacterium. RNAcentral describes it as "bacterial SSU rRNA". It matches the Rfam family "Bacterial small subunit ribosomal RNA", at positions 202 to 803 of the family's 1533-position model. The record is from RNAcentral.